Molecule: ribosomal RNA, 417 nt
Filed under: uncultured bacterium
Lineage: Bacteria
Description: bacterial SSU rRNA
Rfam family: Bacterial small subunit ribosomal RNA
Source: RNAcentral
GGGGAAUCUUGCGCAAUGGCCGAAAGGCUGACGCAGCGACGCCGCGUGUGGGAGGAAGCUCUUCGGGGUGUAAACCACUGUUGCCCAGGACGAACACGCCUUUUCGAGGGCGCUGACGGUACCGGGUGAGGAAGCACCGGCUAACUCUGUGCCAGCAGCCGCGGUAAUACAGAGGGUGCGAGCGUUGUCCGGAAUCACUGGGCGUAAAGGGCGCGUAGGUGGUGGCUUAAGCGUGCGGUGAAAGCUCGGAGCUCAACUCCGAGUCGGCCGUGCGAACUGCUGGGCUCGAGCACUGUAGAGGCAGGCGGAAUUCCGGGUGUAGCGGUGGAAUGCGUAGAGAUCCGGAAGAACACCGGUGGCGAAGGCGGCCUGCUGGGCAGUGGCUGACACUGAGGCGCGACAGCGUGGGGAGCAAAC